GCCCAAAGUACUCUUAUUCCAUACUCAUGAGUGGGCUCAUUCCUUCUCAUCCAUCACAGCACAUUAUUAAACAUCACUCUGGCUGGGCGCUGUGGCUGACGUCUGUAAUGCCAGCACUUUGGGAGGCCGAGGCAGGCAGAUCACGAGGUCAGGAGUUCAAGACCAGCCUGGCCAACAUGGUAAAACCCCGUCUCUACUAAAAAUAUAAAAAUUAGCAGAGGGUGGUGGUGCACACCUGUAAUUCCAGUUACUCUGGAGGCUGAGGCAGGAAAAUCGCUUGAACCCAGGAAGCGGAGGUUGCAGUGAGCCAAGAUCGUACCACUGCACUCCAGCCUGGGCAACAGAGUGAAACUCCGUCUCAAAUAAAUAAAUAAAUAAAUAAACAUCACUCUGAUGAGUGGUCUUCCCUGUCUACAGUAAAUUUGCUGUCAUUCUCUCAGGGCACGUUUGUUUCCUUCUCAGACUACACAAUUAUAUAGGUAUUUGUUUGUUCUCUUUUUUUCUGAGUCUUCCUUUAUACCAUAAGCUCCAUGAAGGCAAGAAUUGAGGUCAUCUUUUCCUGCAUUGUGACCGCAGCACACAUCAUAGGCUCUAGCCUACAGGCUCUCCGUCGAUGGCUGCGGAAGGGCUGCUAUUGCCAUGACAACAGGCCAGAUCAUUUCCCUUGUCUUGGCUUUUUUCACAAUCCAGACAACAGAGGCACAGCACAUUUGUCCCAGGCUCGUAGCAGAGCUCUCCCUAAAUAGUCGGAAAUGAGGGAACUUAGUUAUUAUCAGCGUCUCUUUCCGAGUUCAGGAGUUUUCCUUUGCCAGGCUCCUGGUGUUAGUGGGGCAUCUCCAAGGCCUCUAUUUUCUCUCCUACACACACCUUCCCCAACAAGCUGGCCUGCAGACUGACUCAGCAGGGGCAGGCCAAAGGAGAUGCACAGCGUUCCGACUGAAUGGUCUCACCAAGUUCCACCGAGGGCUCCCUCCACUACCUGGGACAGUGGAGUUCCCAGAGAUGCAGGCGUUAUUUACAUAACUCUCCCCUGCAGAGGACACAAGCAGCCGAGGUUUGCUUCAACACCAAGGACAGCUCUUCUGAAAGAGGGGCAGGGAAACCUUCCGCCCUGGAUCGAUUCUAAGACCUGGGGCCAGACGGAGCCAGCCAGCAAGGCUGUCAGAACAGUCAGCAAGGGGGACUGA
Molecule: long non-coding RNA, 1187 nt
Filed under: Macaca mulatta (Rhesus monkey)
Lineage: Eukaryota; Metazoa; Chordata; Mammalia; Primates; Cercopithecidae
Description: lncRNA (ENSMMUG00000055600.1)
Source: RNAcentral